This is a non-coding RNA of Triticum aestivum (bread wheat), 133 nucleotides long. Lineage: Eukaryota; Viridiplantae; Streptophyta; Magnoliopsida; Poales; Poaceae. The record is from Rfam.
CUCAUACUACCUCCGUCCGAAAAUACUUGUCAUCAAAAUGGAUAAAAAGGAUGUAUGUAGAAUUAAUAUACAUAUGGAUACAUCUCCUUCUAUUCAUUUUUGAUGACAAGUUCCCGGACGGAGGGAGUAUAUA